UUGGAUCCCGUUGCUUGAUUGGAAUUUGCAAACUUAUUUGUUUGAGAUGUACUCUGCAUCAUCUGCCUUCUGGAGCUGUCAAGAUUUUCCUGAGUAGUUAGUGGUUGAAUGACAAUUUGGCCUAUUCCAUCUGCAUGGAUGUGUUGAGGUAUGGGAACAUAAGCAUUUUUGCUAUUUCUUUGGCGUGGAUCGGUAUUUCCUUUGUUCACAGUCCUUGAUAUGACAUUUAAAUUGCCCAAUUGCAGGUUCUCGGUUGUUGGUUGGGCUGCAGGAGUGUACCUUUUGAGCAUUGCUAUAUAAUCAGCUGAAAUUUGCUGACUUUCCACCGCUGACAUUUGCUGGCUUUUCACCACCAGUUCAUUCUGUUGGUCAUUCUGCAUAGCGACUUUUGUUCCAGAGAUGAUGUUAAUGCGUGUACAUGGUUCUUUGGUUUGAGAAGUCAAAUUCAAAGUAAAAGUGGGCUCAUUAUCUUGUUGCAUCACCCCCUGCUGACUAGCUACGUCAUGCUGGCCGUCACCUGAUUUUUCCUCCCCAAAAUUUAAAACUCUCUUGCAUGAUUUUGCUGUGGCGCUAGCAAAGGAAGGAUCUAGUAUCUCCUUCCUAACAUCUGUAGGAUCUGUUACAGGGACUUUGGGAUUAUUCUUCCGAACAUACUUCCUUUUUCCAGUUGGAUUUUCUUUAGGAUUAGAAUUACUUGGAACUUUUGGCUUGGGAGUCUUCUUCGGUUUUCCUUCAAUUACAACUUUUGGCUUGGGAGUCUUCUUUGGUUUUCCUUCAAUUACAACUUUUGGCCUAUGCUUUCUCUUCUUUGGCUGUUUUUGCUUAGGUGUCUUGUUCAGGUCGAUGCCUUCAUCACCUUCCUUUGCAACUAUAUUCUUUCCUUUGCACGGACUGGGAGGGGCAGCACUGGAUGAUGCCACAAUGUUGUGUAAGAGUUCAUCACAGCGGUUUUCAGUAGCUCCAUUUGUUGUUGAUGUGAUGUACUCCUGAUUUUUAUCAGGGCUUGAGCCCUCAUCUGCAGAAAAAUUCAGUAUUUUCUUUGGCCGUUCUGGAGUGACAGGUGGACAUGGGAAGGAAUUGGUGAUGCUGGAGGUGGCAUCGGCUUCCACACCUGGUGGUGAAUUGAGAUUGAAACUAGGUUGGUAUGGAAUGGGGAAUCCAUCUGCAGAAAGACAGUUUCAUCAAUUGACUGUUAAAUGGUAAAAGCAUUAAAUUAGUAAAUUAUAUUGUUUUUGACAUCCUUGGAGAAAGUUCUCCAUUUAUAAAGAGGUCUGUGGUGUCCAGUGUAGAAUAAAAUUCGUUUCUGUAGCAAAUGCAAUAUUUUCAUUGAUAUGAUAAAACUGACACAGCCUGAGGUUCUUUACUACUAAAGAAAAUUGAAUUUAUUUCUUUUUUAUGGCAUUCAAUAUUUGUAUUUUGUGUUCAUUUAGAAAAAUUCCAUCUGCUUCCCAUGACAUUUUUGGCCUGAUUUUGGCUUUUUGCACUAUUUGAAGAGACUGGAUUUCUUAAUGGUGUGUUAGAAUUCUCAAUGAGCUUGUCUUUCAUUUAGGACCUGACUACAUUUUACAUAAAAGAGCUUUGUUCCCAAGUUCUGUGAAUUCAAGUUAGAACCAGUGAUGCGAUUGUGUCUCAACAUCCCUGUUUAAGUUAUAUAUGAUUAGUGCCUAGUGUAAUCACUAAAAGGGAAAUUAGAAGGUAGAGAGAAAUGAAUCAAAGAAAAAGGGAUCAAGCCACUUACACUCAGGUAUCUGCAGUAAGCCAUUACUGUUCUUCCACAUGCUUGAACCUGAGCAUUGAUUUUCUUUACCGAGCAACAUGUCAAUGGAAUUAUCUUCCCCCCAAUUGAUCUCAAACUGAGAAUGUGAAUUUGGAACCUGAGGCCUACUUGCAUUCAGAAGACUUCUUUCUGGGGCUUCACCUGUGGUUGCCUUUCGAACUAGAGGCCCAUUUGCCACAUGGAAAUUUCUGUUCUGUGCUUCACUCGCUGAUGUCUUUAGAACUAGAGGUCUGUUGGCAGUAUGGAUGCUUCUGCUCAGUGCUUCACUCACAGAUGGCUUCAGAGCCGGAGGUCUAUUUGCUGCCUGAACGCUGCUUCUGUCCACUGAGGCACUUGAUGCCAGUCCCAAAAGAUCCUGUAGAGAAUAUUCAUUCAGAUCAAUAUCACCAUUGUGCAUGGCCUGACUAUACAAGGCAGCAUCCCCAUUGCCAAUGGCCAGGUUGCCGGAGCCAGCACUCCCAUUUCCGAUGAGCCGACUGUAGGCUCCAGGACUGCCAUUAACAAAGGCUUGACUGUAGGAGCUAGUGCCACUAUUGGCCAAACCCUGAUCAUAGAUGGUGCUGCCAUUGCCCAAACCCUGAUAGUAGAUGGUGCCCCCAUUGGCCAAGGCCUGACUGUAAGUGCUGGUGCCACCAUUAGCCAAGGCCAAGGUCUGACUGUAAUUGUUGGUGCCACCGUUAGCCAAGGCCAAGGCCUGACUGUAAUUGUUGGUGCCAGCCUGACCGUAAUUGUUGGUGCCACCAUUAGCCAAGGCCUGACUGUAGGGGAUUGUGCCACCAUUAGCCAAGGCCUGACUGUAGGGGACUGUGCCACCAUUAGCCAAGGCCUGACUGUAGGGGAUUGUGCUACCAUUAGCCAAGGCCUGACUGUAGGGGACUGUGCAACCAUUAGCCAAGGCCUGACUGUAAAUGCCUGGGCCGACAUUAGCCAAGGCCUGACUGUAGGUACCUGUGCCAUCACUAUUCGCAAAAGGCUGACUCUGGGAGACUCUGCUGCCACCAUCAGUGAAGAUAUGUUUGUAGGUGCUGGUGUCACCAUUGACAAAGUUUUGAUUGUAGGAACCUGCAAUGUGAUUGAUCAAUCGAUUCUUUUCUGCAAAAUUGCCAUCCCAAUUAUAUAAUGUCUGACUCAGACCUCCAAGAUCAACUAGAUUCAGAUUCUGAACCACCCCAUUGCAAUUCUGAGUUUCAUGCCCACCAGGAAAACCCAAGAGUGCUUGCCAAUUGGUUCUUCCUGCCUGGUUCACCUGCUUGUCAACUGGAACCGGCUGAGAUCUCACCAGAAAUUGCUUAUCAGUGCCUGCUGGGAGCCAAUUACCCCCGAUCAGCAUGUCAUUUUCCUGUGAGAUUGAAAUCCCUUUUCCAAAAUUCAUCCUUUGGAUUUGUGUGCCACAAGCAAUCCAACUUUUUCUUCCCUCCUAUUUGUUCCAACACAUCCCACUCUUCUAAAAGCUUUUUAUCUUCCAAAAAUCCUCUGAUGAUUUCUCUGUAAACCCUUCUCCCCUACCCCAUUGCCAGAACCUAACCUGUUAAAGCCCCAAAAAUCAAUUUCCCAAUCAAACAAAUUCUAUCAAAUCAAACAUGCAAGCAUUAAAGAAGAAAAACAAAAUAAAGCAUUGUUUUUCCACUAAAAAAUCGCAAUUGCAUCCUCCAUUGAUGCCCAGCACUCUGCUUUAAAGCCAAAUAUUUCUCAACAAUUAAAACAGCCAUAUUCAAAAUAUGAAAUACAUAACUGAUAAAUACAAAAAAAAACUUGUGAAAUCAGAAUAUAUUCCUAGAUUUAAUACUCUUUUUAACGGAUAAUAUUGACCAAAUAAAAUCAACAAAAAUCUCCAAAGAAUCUUCCUUUGAUAUUGCAACAAACACAACCACAUACAAGGGUCUUGGUCAAUACCAAUCAAUUAAACAAACCCACAACCAAAAAAAAAAAUUGAAGAAAAUUACAAAAAAAAAAUUCAACUACAGUUGAGCUCACCGAUCUCUCUGUGUGUGAGAUGGCCUGAGUUAGGUACCUGAGAGACGAGUCAAUGCCGGAGAAGCAUAUAGUCGUCCAUCUUUACAGAAAAAGAGAAGAGAAGGAAGAGAGAGAGAAAAAAAGAAAAGAUAGACCACACUUUUAUAUAUAUAUAUAUAUAUAUUAAUAUAUUAAUGCAUAUAUAUAUAAAGUUUCACUACUUUGGGCACUUCACCCCUUUUUUCCAAUCACAUCCGAAAUGUCGCAAUCACCCUCCUUUUGCUCCCUGCUCAAAGCGGACUCUUUCGUCAUUUCAACAGGAGGCGGUGGUGUGGCUACGUACGAAAUGGGAAGUGCCGGAAUUGAGUUUCUCAACACGCAUAAAAGACUAGUUAGGAAGUAACAUUUUCUCGUCCUUUUCUCUCUUCAAUAUUUCCUUUCCUCAAAGUAAUUGUGAGUUCAGUAAAAGAUUCGGUGUAUUUUCCGUAUUUUCCCUAAAAACAUUUCACUGCCAAGGACAACCGCGCUGUAAAUUUUAUAAAUUUACCCUAUUGGGGUCCGCGUGUCUCGCGUGUCUUGGCCCCACUAUGGUAAGCGUGAGACACCGCCCACACCCACGUGAUUCAACAAAUAAGCAAACAAAUCAAGUCAAUUUUUUUUGUUUGGUUUUUAUUUUUGUUUUUCUUUCACGUGAUGUGUGUACUGAUCUUUCUCUUUGAAUUGUCAAAUUUUCCAUUCUUUCUUAACGUAUUAUAAGGUAAUGCAUUGAAAAUUAAAUUUUGUGGAAUAAUCACAAUAUUUUAAUUCCAUAAAUUGAACAAAUAAUUUUUAUAUAUUUUUAAAUUAUCCUUUUUAAACUAAUGAUCAUUUAAAAAAUUUAUAAAAUAAUAAAAUUUUAAAAUUUCAUAUUCAAAUGCUAUAAAUAAUAAAAUUCGAUGAGUUUUUGUCUUGUCUUGCUUUUAAUAAUGGGCACGUGAAACAAAAGUUACAUAUGGGAAAACGUUUAAACAUGAUAUUCUAGUCAAUGAUGCUACAAAAAGAAAGCGGCUAAAAUUGAGAAAUGCGUGACACUGAAAAACAUGGAGGAAAAUAAAAAAGUUGUUAAAUUCAAUGUACCAAUCUUAUUUCACAAUUUUAAAAAUAUUUAGUCCGUUUAAUAUAAUCACCAUGAAAUCAUUACCAAUCCAAUCAAAAUUACCACGAAUGAUUGAGAGUGUGAUUUGUUAGGGUGACACCUGCCCCUCACUCACUCUGCAACGGGGCAGAAAAAUCCUAUACAUUCACCUCCACGCUAAUUAAGAGCAAAAGUGGUUAGGCAGAAUUUUCAAUUCCUGGGUGGGCCCCUACCCUAAAAGGCCAAAACCUAAAUGGCCUGCAGUUGUGGUAAUCUAGGACUUUUCUCUCACCACCUAACUAUAGACCACAGGUUUUGCACGUGCCACGAGGAGAGUGGGUCUAGGGUUUAAGUCCUGAUGUUUGACCAGGCAGAACGCAUGAAAUGCUGCAGUCCUAUUGGUCCGUGACUUCGUAAUGGUAUCAGUGACGAGGAGAAUAGCCAGUGGUCCCCUUACUUCUAGAAGACGCCACGUUUUAUUUAGUCCGUGUCGUGCGUCGUAUGAAAACGACUCUCAGCUUCCAUCCCACGGUGGAUGGACCACCGAGGUUAUGCUACCCUGUGCUAUGCUCUACGUUAAUAGUCUGCGACGACCAGCGUGGAGAGAUUCUGAUGACACUGUCUGUCUGCAAGGCAAAUUGCAAUUGCCACCGACAAAAUUGAUGCUUCCACCGAAAGAUUUCACGUACGACCAAUAUCCUCCUAAAUCUCGCACCAAAAAAAAAAAAAAAAAAUCAUGCAAAAUACAGGGGUGGGAGAUAUUUAGUAUAAAUUUUAAAUAUUAUCAUGUAAAAAAGUAUGCUUUUUUUUUUUUAAAAAAAAAAAAAAAGUCAAAAUUUGCUUAUGGUUUCUUUCAUUUCUAAAUCUUAGAAAGCAUAGUGAAGAAGAUAGGCAAGAUGGAGACACCUGAAAACACAUGGGAGAAGUAAUCCACCCAUAUGCCGGCAUUUAAUGGAUUUUUUUUUUUCUUUUCUGAUAAUGAUGAUGUCCGUACAAGUGGGGUACAACAGAUUUUUUUAUUAUUAUUUAUUUUUUAAUUUUAAAAAUCUUAGGAUUGUUUCAGUAAAUCACAAAGUUAGGCAUGGCGCAUUAGGGUUUUUAAUGAACGUUAAACAAAGGAAUGAUGGGAAAGGUGAACGACGGCCACUUUUGGAAUCUAACAAGGUGCCCAUGCGGCAUAUAUAUAUAUAUAUUUUUUUUAUUUUUAUUUUAUAAAAGGAUGUAAAAAAUUUGGAUGUUUUGAAAUUACUUUAUUUUCUUGGCGUCCAAACGCAGUUGGAAUAGAGAAUAAUAAGAUUCAUUUUUAAGCUAUAGUAUAUGUAAUAAAAUUCAUGUUUCCAUCUGAAUUUUGAUGGAUUCCAAACUUGAAAAAUAAAGAAAUUCAAAUGGAUUAAAGAGUUAGAGUGUGUUUGAUAAUGAUUUUAGAAAAUAUUUUUAAUAUUUUUAAUAACUAAAGUUUUUUAUUUUUUAUAUAUUAUAAAAAUUAAAAAUAUUUUUUUAUAAUUAUUACCAAAUACACUUUUAUGUUAAAAAAUUUAAAAGUUAAAAUUGGAGCACCUGCUAUUGUUGUUUAAUUAAAUUUUUAUGUUUAAAAAUUUAAAAAAAAUUUUAAUUAAACAAUUUUUUUUUCAAAUCAAGUUAGUCUUUCCAUUUUAUUUUUUAAGAUAUUGACAAAUUAAGUUGAUGCUAGUUUUUUUUUUUACUUAAUUUUAUAUAGAACUUAAAAUUAAAUAGUGUUAAGUAUUAAAUUAUUUAUUUUUUUAGUAUUUUAUUUUUAUUAAGUAUUAAAAGUAAAAAACAAUCAAUAUUAUUUUUAACAUUAAGAAAAAAUCAAAUAUUUUGAAUUUUUUCUAUUCAAUUAAAAAAUUUAAUAAAUAAAUAAUAAGUUAAUAAAGAGUAAAAAACAAACGAUCUAAAAUUUGAAAAUAAGUUGUUUUCAACAAAAAAUUAGAGAAAAAAACAACACCUAAAUUUAUAAUUAUACAACUUAUAAUUGAAAAUUCUAGUAGAAUACUCCUAUUUUAUCUUCAAAUAUAUAUAUAUAUAUAUAUAUAUAUAUAUAUAUAUAUAUUACAUAUAUAAAAUUUAUUUAUUUUAGUUAUUAUUAAACACACCUACUUCAAAUCUCUCUAAAAAAAUAAUAAUUUUUAUAAACAAAUUUUUUUUAUAGAGUUGCCAAUUGACGAAAGUUGAAAUAAACUAUGGUUAGGUGUAUUUACAUCAAACCUUUGGGAGUCUCGUUGAAAUCAACCCAUUUAAAUAUUAACAUAGUAUUAGAAGUUUAAGGUUUUACUUAUAUAAUUUAAAAUGUAAUUUUGGUAACAAUUAGGUAAUUUUUUUUUUACACAAAAGACAAUCGUCGUUGUAAACAUAUAAAUGAAUUAUAUAAUUUGUAUGCAAUAGGUUGUAGUUACACUUGUAUUUCAUUACCAUAAAUAGAGGAUACCCAAUAUUAGGAUUUUGAUUUGAAAAAGAGAUCUUAGCAUAAUUUGAUAAAUGAUCCAAUAUAUAAAAUAAAAUAACAUAAUUUGAAUUUGAAUCUAAGCAUAUAUAUCUAUACCACAAUGGACUACCAAUAUAUAGUACAAUUCAUAAAACAAUCUCCUAAUUUCAAUUAAUUUGGCAACUAGAAAUACACCUUUGGUUUAUGCCUCAUCAAUCCAAAAUACUAUUAAGAGAUGACACAAUUCAAUCACAAAGAGUAUUAUUUUCCUCAACAAAGGUUAAAAGUUUUUUUGAAAGCAAUUAAAUUAUUAUUUUUCUUUAACCAAAAGACUUAAAAUCAAAUUUUUCCUUCAGUGAAUUGAUGACAAUGGUAAGAGCCUCCAAGCCUUUGAGAUAAGUAGUAUGUUGAACGGGUAAUAAUUACAAAAAGAAAAAAUGCAAUAAUUUUUCUUUUUCAUAAAAAUCAAGUAUCACAUAGAAAUAAUUAUUUUACUUUAAUUAUAAAUAGUUAUUUUACUUUAAGUAAAAAUACAUCAAAGAAAAGUUGUAAUUGAUACCUUAUUCAAUCAUGUGAAUAUUGUUCGAUUAAGCAUUUCCAUAUAUACAACAACUAGAUUCAAAUAGGGAGACAACAAAUUAUUGAUAAAAUGGAGGUAACGUAUUAAUGUUAAUAGUUGUAUAUGUUCUCAUAUAUAUAUAUAUGACGUGUUUCCAUAGAGACCUCUAUCUUUUUAUACGAGGGUUUUGACCCACCUAAUGACGUUGUUUGACCGAUCCAAAAAUAACUCUCUACUAUUGAUCUAAUAGAAAGUUCCUUUCUUGCUUAUUAGUUACACCAAUUUGACAAUGAGCUAAUUGAAAGUUCAUAAUUUCUUAUAAAUUGAAUAAAUCAUGACAUUCAAGGAAUUUUUUGGCAAAAAAUAUUACAAUAAAUGCACAUGUAAUUACCCCUCUCCCGCUUAAUAUGGGGAUUUUGGAUCACUUGAUGAUAUUGAUUGACUAUUCUAAAAAUGAUACUUUAGUAGUGAGCUAAUAAAAAUUGGCAAUUCGCUCAUACAUAUUAAUAUACAAUAAAAAUUCCUUCAAUUAUCAUAAAGCGCAAUCAUAUUUUCACCCACGAUGUUGUUAUGGUAACAUGUCAAUAAUAUCUAAUAAGUACUUUCUCUUUAAUUUAUUUAAAGUACAUAGGGUAUUCUCACUAAUUAUACCAUUAUAGCAUCGAGGUUGAUACCUUCUUCGUGACUUUGAUUUAAUAUUUAAUAAGAGUCUCUUUCUCAAUUAGUCUAGUACAUGCACCAUAUUUUCACUAAUUACAAUAAUGUUAAUAAGGAAUCUCCAUGCUUAUAGCUUUGAGAUUAUAAGUUGUCAUAGUCUUUCCAUAUAAUUUAGUUCCAAUAUGUGUUUUUCUCUUUGUACCAUCUAAUAUCCCACAAGGCCUUUACAAUGAAUUUAGUGUAUAGUUUAAUCUUUCACAAAUUAAAUACCAUAUUUUCACUAAUAAUGUCACUAUGGCUAUAAACAAUAUCUAAUAAGGAUUUCCUUUUUCAUUAAAAUAAGAUCAAAACCAUAUUUUCUCCCCCCAUGUUGUUCUAUUAACAUGACAAUAAUAUCUAAUUAGUAUUUUCUCAAGUAAUAUUAAGGUAUCGAUUGCAAUGAACAAUAUUUAAUAAGAAUUUCUUUUUUCAUUAUUAUAAGAUCAAAACCAUAUUUUACUAAUUAUACCGAUCCGAUAAUAUGGGAAUUGAAAGUUGAUAUCUUGUUGGCUCUACCUAAUAUCUGACAAGAAUUUCUUACUUGGUUAUGUGAAAGUAAUGCACCAUAUUUUCACUAAUUAUACUACUUUGAUAUUGAGGACAAAUAUUGUCUUCCUGAAUCAAAUUAUAUCUUGCAAGAAUUUUAAUUAGUAUAAUGUCAUUCCAUACUUUCACUGAUUUCAUUGAUUUGAUAGCUGAGUUAAUUAAAAGUCGAUAUUUUGUUGACUUUGAUUAAUUAAUUUGUUUAAGAUAUUCUCCAUAUUUUUAUUAUUACAAUUAUGUUUAUACUAACUUUUACCAUAGAAUUGUUAAUUUUUUUUUGAUAUAUUCUAUAGAAUUUAGUAGUUUUUUUUUUUUGGUCUUUUUACGACACUAUCUUACUAAAGCCUCUACAAAUAAUAUUUUGUGGUCUGCUUUACUUUUAACCAAUGUAAAUAAUUUAUUUAUGUUGAUAUAUAGGUGUUGUAUCCUAACUAAGAAAGUGUUGGGUAAAACUUAAUAUUGAUUAAAGUUAAAUUAUACUUAAAUUAUUGAUUUAAAACUUAUUAUUUGAUUUUUUAAUUUAAGUAUUAAGAUUAUUUGAUAAAAUGCAUUUAUAAUUUAUUCUAAAUCAUUAAUUUUAAUUAAUAUUUAUUUUUAUUAAUGAUAAAUAAUAAAUUUGUCUAUGAAAUAUCCAUAUUUAAAGUAUAGUAGAUAAAUAAGAUAACCAUAAAAUAUUUGUAAUAAAAAAUGAGUUAUGAAUGCGGAAUUAAGAAUUGUAAAAUAUACUCUCACUAGAUAUAGACAAAUGAGAUAUAAAAGAUUUGAAAUUAAUAAUAAAUUAAUAAUUUUGACUUAAUCCUUAAAGUUAAAAAUAAAUUUAUGUUAUGAUUUUAAGGUAUUUUACCGAACAUACUACUUAAAGAUUUAAAUUAAGUCAAUAAAUAAAAUAAAAAUAAAAAUAUUGAAAGAAUUUUUUGCAAACAUAUUACAACAAAUGCACAUAUGAUUACCACUCUCUUCCUUAAUAUAGGGAUUUGGGUCAAUUGAUGAUAUUUAUUGACCAUUCGAAAAAUGACAUUUUGGUAGUGAGGCAACAAAAGUUGGCGUUUUGCUUAUUCAAAUUAAUGUCCAAUAAAGAAUUUCCUCAAUUGGCCUAAAGUGUACAUCAUAUUUUCACAGAUGAUGUUGUUCUUGUAAUGUGCCAAUAAAUUUUUUUAUUGAAAUGUAGAACAUCUAACAAGUAUUUUCUCUUCAAUUUGUUUGGACUCCAUAUGAUAUUUUUACUAAUUAUACCAUUGUAGUAUCAAGUCAUUUGAAAAGUUGGUAUUUUGUUGAGUUUGAUUUAAUAUUUAAUAAGAGUUUCUUUGUCAAUUAAUCUAAGACAUGCACCAUGUGAUUUUCACUAAUUACAAUAAUGUUAAUAAUGUUAUAGUUUUUCCAUAUUCUAUAGUUCCAAGAUAUGCUAUUCUCCUCAUACCAUCUAAUUCCCACUAAAUAGUGUUGCUUUAAUCUUUCACAAAUGUAACAAUUUAUGAUGAUGCAUAUAGAUAUCGGAAUUUGACUAGUUGAAUAAUAAUGAUUUCAUUUGAAAAACUAAUAAUAAAACAUUUAAGUAGUGUUUGUUUUUUAAGCUUUUUCUUGAAAUCAAUUUAUUUUCAGAAUUUAGGUUAUUUGUUUUCUACUUUUUCAUAACUUAUUAUAAACUUUUUACUAAAUAAAAAAAUCCAAAAUAUGUAGCUUUUUCUAAAUAGAAAAAAUAACAUAUUAGUUUUUCCUUACUUUUUAAUACUUAAUAGAAAUAAAAUACUAUAAAAAUAAACAACCUAAUAUUUAACACUAUUAAACAUUAAGGUUUUAUUUAGAAUUAAGUAAAAAAACAAACACCACCUAAAAUUGGUCUUCGAUCUGUUUUAGUUUUUCUUCAAUUUUCAUUUUUUAGAAUUGUUAUGUUGCUUAAAAGUUUUAAUUUGUGCUAGAUAUCAAUGUGAUUUGGACUCCUAGCAAGCUACCAAAUCCUAGAGAGAAAAUUUGGUGUUACAUAAGAAGUGUAGUUUCGGAGUUAAAACCCUAUUUUUAUUGGCUAUGAGAAAAAAAAAAAAAUUGGAAACCUCACACUCAUAUGAAAAAAUCUAUAAAAUAGGAAUUAAAGUUUAGAAAAUUCAAAAUUUUCUUAAAUUUAUCUAAAAAUAAUAAGGAUUUUGCGUACUUCUAGGUCAAAAGUACUAUCUUAGACCAUUCUUGAGUACUACUUUUAACUAAUGGGUAUAUGAAAUUUGAAUUAUUUUUAGGAGUUUAUAUUAUUUUGUAGUUUUUUUUUUAAAUGAAUGUGUGAAAAUACAUUUCCUUGAAGAACUUAGCUUUUAUAAGCCUUACUCUAAAAAUUAGAAAAAAAAAAAUAUAACCAUUGGAAAGGAAAUAUUGAAUUGAAACAAAGUAGACAAAAAUGACUAAUGAAGAGGAACUUUUAGACUUCUAGAUGAGAAUAUCAUUUGAACGUAUUAAAUUCCAAGAUUUUGUUUUUUAAUUCAUUUACAUAAUUUAAUAUAUUAUCAUAUUUAUAAAGACUAAGAAUAAAAAAGAAUAAAUUUUAAUGGUUUUCUUUAUCAUAUUUGCUUUUUAGAGUUGUCUACUAUUUUAGUUAAUUAAAAAUAUGAGAAGAAAUCGUCUUAUAUGUGAAUUCUCUUAUGAUUUAAUUGGUUGACUUAUUUGUUUCUUAGGUAAGAAAAAAAGUGCAAAAAAAAAAAAAAAAAAAUCCAAAAUAUGAGACCCUUUUAUUCCAUAUACAUGAAUGUUCAUUCUACAUUGGUUUUUAUCCUUUUUAAAUAUUCUAAGGUUAUGUUUAGUUGGUUGGAUAUAAUAUAAAAUAGGAUAAGAGAUGAGAUAAUAUAUCUAACCUCAUGUUUGAUUGGUAAUGAGACAAGAUAAAUUAUUCCAUAACUGCUUGUAUUAUAUGUUCAAUUAAACAUGAUAAUAAAUGGUGUGAUAUAUUAUACAUCUUAUUAUUUUUUUUUUUUAUAUCUCUUCUAAAUAAGAUAUGUUAAUUUUAAUCUAAGAUGCAAGGUAUGCAUAUCCCAUGUAUCAUAAAUUUAUUUAUUUUUACUAAUUUUUUAUUUUUUUAUAUUAUUUAUUUUGUAAAAUAAUUUUUAUUAUUAGAUUAAAUUUGUGGUUAAAGAAAGAAAACUAAAAAGUAUUUAUAAAAUAUAUGAUAAAAUAAAAUUAAUAUAUGUAUUUUUUUUUAUAUAUAUAACUUAUUUUUAUAUAUUUAAUAACAAAAUAUAAUUUUUUUAUUUAUAAAGUUUAAGUAUUUUAGUCAUGAACAUUCUUAAAUAUAAAAGAAAUUUCAUAUUUUUUUAAAUAUAAAUAUUGGAAGACAAUAUUAUUUUUAUUUUAAAUAUUGAAAAAUAGUAAAUAUUUUAUUUUAUUUNNNNNNNNNNNNNNNNNNNNNNNNNNNNNNNNNNNNNNNNNNNNNNNNNNNNNNNNNNNNNNNNNNNNNNNNNNNNNNNNNNNNNNNNNNNNNNNNNNNNUUCAUUUUAAAAAUUAAAUAUUUGAAUAACAUAAUAUAUCCUAUUAUAUAUAUAUAUUAUCUUAUGAUACCAUGUCCACUAGAUUUAAUAUCCAAGGAUAUCAUAUCCAAGCAGAAAUCAAUGGGAUAUGAUAUCCUAAUAUAUAUAUAUAUAUAUAUAUAUAUAUAUAUAUAUAUAUAUAUAUAUAUAUAUAUAUAUAUAUAUAUAUAUAGUAUCCAAUGAAAUAUGAUAUUGACAAUGACAACUCCACCUUUUUCAAAAGUCAAAAUUUUACAAUAAAAGCCGAGUUUAACCAUCGAGUGAGGACGCACAUGAAAAAUACGGGUCCACACCCACUAAGGGCUUAGGCCACUUAAUCUAACCCAAAAUAGAUUCUAAUUGAUUAAUUAAUCUCACAAGGCCAUUUGACAAAUCAAUUAACCCAAUCAAGGGACUUUGUUCACUAACCCCUAUGCAGCCUUACGUAAUUGCCAAAACGUCCUUAUGCAAAAAAGUGAACUAAGAGUCAUACCAUUCAUAUGAUGAAUAUAUAAGUCUCCACCCAACCUAUACAUCGAAUUGAUUGUUGGGGGCCUUCAAUACAAACCUCUCUUCUAUCUGUUCUUUUCUUUAUUGAAGGGCUCUUUAAAUCUAAUGUAGCGGAAAACAAUGUUUCAAAAACCAAAAUACAUAGCUCUAGUGAUUAAAUGCUAAAACUUGCGAUCUGGAUGUUCCUAGAUCGAAUUCCAUUUGAUGAAGAUGUUGAAAACCAUAGUAGUUGUUUUAGAACUCGUCUACCCAAGAGUCUUCCACAUGAUCUUUCCUUCUAUGGGUUUAGGCAUAAAAAAGGGUGAGCUUCUCACACACACUCUCUCAAAAGGGUUGUUGGGAACUUUGGAUCACUUUGUUCCCAUGCCUUGGAUCUUAUAAGGUGCAUGAAAAUCUAUAUUAAACUUUCUAAAUCUAUCGCAAUAGAAAAUUAGGUAUUUAAAAACCAAUAUUGAUACUAUAGAAAUCAUAGAUUUAGAGAAUAGAGCCAUAUAACUUUGAUUCAGAUGUUCCUGAAUUGAUUCCAAUCGAUAUAGAUAACUCCAAAGUUGUAAUGGAUCUCAUAAACACCAUGAUCUUCCACUUGAUGAUUCUUCCUUGUGUCUAGGCAUUGAGAUGACGGAGAUUUCAAGGGUGAAAGCUAGGGUUUUAUCUCUGGACUAUAGGGAGAAAAUAAUAAGAUAUGGAAAUCCUAACCUCUAAAAGAGUAUUAUAGGCUUCCAAUUGAGCUUAAGUGACUUAAGCCUACUAUAGGCUUGGAUCACUUAAUCUACCCAAAAAGGUUGUUAAUUGAUUAAUUGACCAUACAAGUUGCUAAUUAAUCAAUUUGCCCAGUCUAAAGAUACCACUCACUCCUUGUGCAACCUUGAAUAAUUACCAAAACACCCUUAUGCACAAAAGUGAACUAAAAACCUAUCUAACCCUUAUAAAAUGUACUAUCAAGGAAUAUGAGCUUAAAACAGGGACCAUUAGGACCCAUAGGAGUACUGGCUCUCUCAUAAUCAAAUUCUAAAAUUGACUCAACAUCCCACUAUAGAGAGUUGACAGUAUUCUGAUACCCUAUGUAUAUUACAAUGAAACACCAAGUGCUCAAGUCCAUGACCUACUAUCAACUGCAUGCAAGCUCCUCAUGAAUUGGUGUUUGUAAUUUAAUAAGAUAGUGCUAUCACCUAUCAAGAUUACCUUUCAAAUCCUUGAGUUACAGAUCCCGCUUAUUAUAUGAUUAACUGAUAUACUUUAGCUCCAAGAAGCAUAUGUACAAUUCCAUUAAAGGAAUUAUUGUGACCACAAAUUUCAUGAUCACAUGUCAUUUGGAUCACCCAAUGAGACACACUGUCUCAAUCCCAUGAUAUAUCAUAAUGUCUCUAUUGAGAAUACCUGUUGCCACCAGCUUCCAUUAAUAAUGAUUCAAUCCAUAGGGAUAUAUGACCACUUUAGGGUCUCACCCAUAAGUUAAAUUCUCUUAUUGAUUUUAACAUAAACUCAAAUUCUCACAAAGUUGAGAGUCUAUGCAGUAUAGUAGCUUUGUGAAUCAUGACAAUUGAUAGCCUUGUGAGUCCUGUCUACUGUGCAUCACAUACAUUAGUGCACUCACCAUGGGAAACCCAUCCUGAUGGCCAAGACAAGUUAUCCCUCCAAUUGGGAAGUGGUACACUACAGUCUCUACUAGAUUGCUCAAAUCCAUGAACAGAUUGUGGACAACUUAUCUAUUUACAAAGAACCCAUUGCUUGUAUCUUUUGUGCAACUCUUAAUGCACCCAUGCCAAGUCAUGUACAAAGGAAGAGACAUGGUCUGAAUGCUCAAAUCAAUGUCAAUACACCAAAAGGAUAGCAAAGAGACAAUUAAAUUUAACUUUGUUACAUUAUGUCUUAGUUUUUGGGGCUCAAUCCCAAUAAGGGUGACUAAGGUUUUUCUUUAGAGGCUUUUUGAAAUAUGAUAGGCAAAAUUUUAAAACCCUUAAUAGGGCUCUUCGUGGGCUUGAGCCCAAAUUGGCGUUUGGUUACCUAAUCUAGCCCACUUGGUCUUAAUUAAUUUGAUUAACCCUAUUGGACUCCAAUUAAUUAAGCCCGGUCUAGAAAGACAAUUUAUAAUAUCUAGUGCAGCCUUAUGCUUUUACCAAAAUGUCCUUAUGCAUACUCAAACCCCUUAAAUAGGGCAUGUAACAUGAACAUGGAGCUCGAGUAGGGAUCACUGGGACCCAUAGAAAAAUGUUGGCUUCCUCAUAAUCCAUUUCAAAAGUUCCAAUUUCCCAUUACUAUCUAUACAAUUCCAUGCAUUAUAUCUCAUGAGCAUUUUGACUUGAUAUAUUUUGCAUUGUACAUGACUUGGGUGCAAUAGGAGUUGCUUGGAAGAUCCAAGUCAUGGGUUCCUUACAAGUAUAUGAUUUGUUCACAACCAAUUCAUGGACUUAGGCAAUUUGAAGCUAUAGUGCACUACCUCCUAAUUGGAGGGAUGACUAAUUUUAACCAUUAGGAUGAGUUUCCUAUGGUGAGUACACUAAAGUGUAUAGUUUACACACUAGAUAAGACUUAUAGUUAGCCAUAACAUAAGGCUAUUGGGUAAUCAUGAUUCAACAAGUUGAUAUACUUUAUGGUUUCUUGACCUUGAGAGAAUACUAAGCUUGUGCCAAAGUUUGUUGUAACUUUAACUUACAAGUAAUACCUUAAAGUGGUAAGAUAUUUCCUAUGGAUUGAGUCACUAUUAAUAAAGGCUAGUAGCAAUAAGUAUUUUAAAUAAAUGCAUCAUGAUAUCUCAUCGAGUUUGAGACAAUAUGUCACAUUGGGUGAUCCUAAGAAAGUGUGUUCAAGAAAACUAUAGUCAUAAUAAUUCCUCAAGUAGAACUUGACAUAUACUUUUCAUGAGAUUGGACAUGUUUGUUGAUCACACAAUAGAAGAAUUUAUAAUUUAACGAUGGUAAAAUUCAACUUUAGAAUUGGAUUUUAAGGGAACCAACAUUGUUUUAUAGGUCCUGGUGGUCUCUACUUAAGCUCAUAUUCUUUGAUGACAUAGUUUAUAAAAGUUGGAUUGGUUCUUAAUUUACUUGUGUAAAUAAGAGUGUUUUGGUAAAUAUGUAAGGUUGCAUAGGAGUUAGUGAAGGAUCUCUCAAGAUUAGGUUAAGUGAUUAAUUGGAGUCCAAUUGAGCUAAUUAAUCAAUUAGAACCCUAUUAGAGCUUGAUUAAUUGGAGCUCAAGGUGGACUCAAGUCACUUAAGCUUACAAGAAGCCUAUAAAUACCCGUCUUAAGGGUUAGGGCUUCACUAUUGACACUCUUGUUUUUUGACCACUUAGAGAGAGAGAGAGAACCCUAACCUUCGCCCUUAUGAAAUCUCCCUUAUCUUAGUGUCUUGGAUUAAAGGAAUAUCCAUUUGGUAACAAAUUAUUGUGUUUACAAUAUCUUUUAUGACUUUGGAGUCUUCUAAAUGAACAAGAAUUGAUAUGGGAACAUUUACAUCUAGGUAAACAUAUCCAAAUCUUUAGUUCUACAUCCUAAAAAAGUUUUUAUAUGCUUAUUUGCUUGCAUUGCUAGGAUCUAGAUAACCCUAGGAAGAUUGCAUGCACCUAGCUAUUUGAUGCAUUGUCAGGAAACAGAGUAAUCUAGAAUUUCCUACAACUGGUAUCAAAGUUCUAGGUUAGGCUUUAAGCAUGCUAAAACCUUUCUAGGAUGUGCUAACCACUAUUUUGCAAGGUUUUUUUUUAUUCAUCCCAUGACCCAAAAGGAUGAAUGUAUAGAUGAGAUUUUGUUAGCUAUUGUGUUGUUUGAAUGGAUAGUUUGCUAUUUUUUUUGUUAGAUGGGUUGUACACCCUAGAAGUGGUAAAUGAUUUUUUAUUAGAAUUUAAAAAUCCUAUUUUCAAUAUUCAUAAACUGGUGGUAAACUUCAAUUUGAAGGAAUAUAGGCUUUUUGUGAUUCUAUGUAAAAAGUUUAUGUUUUUAUUAAUCUUUGUAACCAUUUGAGAGCAUGGAGAUGAUCAAGUCGAUUACACAACAUCCAUAGUGUUUUACUAAUCGAAAAAGGUAAGUUUUUCAAUAAAAGUGAGGUCGAGGAGGAGUUCCAAUUACUCUUAGAUUUGGGAUCAUAUCGACAACACUCAAGUGCCUAAAUUAGUGCUCAAGAAAUCAUUGAGCACUCAAGUGUCAUUCUAAUGUUGCAUCCAUUGCUAGAACACUUCUAUUGGCUUUACCACUAGAAAAUUAUAGUUUUAAGUUUUUAGGGGCAUUUUAGAGUUUUGUAAUUUUUUUCUAACCCUAGUUUUGUUACACGUAUUUUUUAUUUUUUGGAAAAUCCAAUAUUUGGUCUUAUCAAAUAUGCAAUAGGAUCCCUAAGGCCAUGAGAAUUUAUUUUUCCAUAUAUGUUUUUUUAUAUGCAUAUUUGAUAUAUGGUGUGAAAUAUAUGAAUUGUGGAUAAAAUAAAUUAAAGGGUAAUUUUAGAAUUUCCUUUGGAAAGUAGAUUUUCAUGAGAAGGAAAUUUCAAAAUGAAUUUUUAUUUAAAUUGGAAGUGUGAUAAAAUUAAGGAAUUUUCUUUUUAUAUGAAAUGAUUUUUGGAAAAUUUAGAGAAUCUAGUUUCCUUAUUUUUCAUAAUAGCUUUGGUAGAUCUUUUCCAGAUUCCCUAAAUUUGAGAUCUUCAAGGAUUUCAAUUUUUAUACAAAAAAUGGCAUUAAUAAAGCAUGUAAUGGAUGAUAAUAUACCUUAACCUAAACUAAAGAAGGGUGACACAUCCUUCCCACCAUAAUAGUACUUUCAGUAGACAUAAUGCUACUUUCUUCAUAAAGGAGUGAUAUUUUUUUCUAAGGGUUGUGUCAAUCAGUGUUAUUAUACAACUCCUCCUACACAUUUCACUUUUAAAAAAGAUAUGAAGCCCAUAAUGGGCUAUAAAAAACCUUAUCUUAAACAAAAGAAUGGUGGCACAUCAUUCCUAUCUCAAUAGUACUUUCAAUAUACAUCAUUAAUAUUUUUUUUUCCAUAAAAAAGUGAUACCUUAUUUUCUAAGGGUUAGUGUCGAUCAAUAUUAUUGCGUAAAAAUUGCAACACAUUUCAUGUUAUUUCAUAGUUACAUAAGACAUGGAAUACAUAACAAGCGGUAACACACCUUAUUCUAAACCAAAAGGUGAUACAUUCUUUAUGAAAAAAAAUGUGUUAAAAGUACCAAAUGUGUGGAAAUGAUGUACUGUCUUUCUUUGGUUCCGAGUAUGGUAUGUUAUUGCCCGUUACGUGCGUCAUGUCUUAUAUAUAUAAUGAAAUAAUGUGAAAUGUGUGAGAGUUUUUGUAUAAUAACACUAAUUGACACAACCCUUAGAAAAGAGGUAUCACUUCCCUAUAAAGAAAUUAACAUUGAUGUGUGCUAAAAGUAUCACUAUGGUAGGAAUGACAUCAUCUUUCUUUGCUUAAAGGUAUAUCACCACUCGUUGCGUGUUACACAUUUGAUGUAAAAGUGAAGUAACAUGAAAUAAGUAGAAGUUUUUGUGUAAUAAUUCUGAUCAACAUAACCUUUGGAAAAGAGAAAUCUCUCAUUUAUUUAAAAAAAAAAAAAAACUAAUGUGUGUUGAAAGUAAUGUUUGAAAAAUAAGAAUUUAUCAUUGAAAUAUCUACAAAAAAUUGGUUAUCAGUGGUGGUCGAAACAAAAUCGGCCAUUGAUUAUUGAUUGGGUGAAAAAUCGCUUAAAAAUCGACAAUAUUAUUGAUAUUUCGACGAUAAUAUCGUGUGUGGAGGAUCCGCGACAUGGAAAAAUUGGUGAUUUUUUGAAAAAUCGUUAUUUUUUUGAGAUUUUUUGGCAUCGGUUCUCCUUUGCAUCCAAAGGCUAAUUUUGAAUUUUUGAAGAUCCAAUGGUCAAGAUUUCCCUCGUGUUUUUGUAAAAGCAUUCAACGGUUAGAUUUGUGAUUCAAUAGUGGAAAAUCAAUCUUGACUCGAUCCAAUGACUAGGAAAUGUUCCUAACAGCUAUAUGAAGGAACCAAAUUUCGAUCUAGUGACUAAAAUUAAUUUACAAUGGUUAUUUGACCAUCCAAUGGCUAGUUUGACAAAAAAAAUUCUAUAAAUACCCACAAUCCAUUCCAUUUAAUACAUAAAAUUUUAGUAAUCUUGAUUUUGUUUUAUUGCUCCAAUUUUUUUUAUUUUUUAUUUUAUCUUCAUUAAACUUUUUAAAUUUUAGGAAUUUGGUGGUAACAUGUUGGAUUAAUUCUAAAGCAAGACUAAUUAAGGUAUGUUUUCACUUUCCAUAUAAUUUAUUUUUAUUAUGCACAGUUCAAUUUUAUUUGUUCUGUAUAGUUUAAUUAAUAUUACCUAACUUUAAUAUUUUUCAUAUUAACAUUAAAUUUCAUAUUGAAUUAAUUUGAAAUAUAUGCAUAUUUAGUUUCAUUUUUUAGUAAUUUUAAAUUUAAUAUUAGUUUCAUAUGGAAAUUUAAUUAUAAUUUUUAUCUAUUUGAUAUAACAUAUAUGCAUAAUUCAAUUUUAAUUAGUAAUGAUUUUUAUCAAUUUCAUGAAUAAUAUUAGAUUAACUUAGGUGUUUAUCUUUAAUAAUUUUAAAUUUCAUUCACAUGGAAAUUUAAUUAUAAUUUUGUCUGUUUGAUAUUACAUAUAUGCAUAAUUCAAUUUUAAUUUUAAUUUUUAUUAGUAAUGAUUCUUAAUUUUUUAUCAACUUCAUGAAUAAUAUUAAAUUAAUUUAUAUGUUUAUCUUUAAUAAUUUUUAAUUUAAUAUUAGUUUCAUAUGGAAAUUUAAAAUGCAUGUUUAGAAAAUGGCUAGUGAAAGUGGAAGUAGUGUUGUGGGCCGAAAUCCUGUUUGGAAAUAUUGUACAUUUAUGGAAAGGAAUGAAAAAGAAACAAUAUGUAAUUAGUGUGAGCUAACAAUAAAGAGUGGUGGGAUUACUUGUUUUAAAUUUCAACGAUCACAUAUAGACCCUGAUUCAAGUACAAAAAAGUGUCCCAAUGCGCCUCCAAAAGUGAAAUAAGAAAUAAGAUGACUUCUAGAGAAAAAAACAAAGGCAAAAAUGAAGAAAGUUGUAGAUAUAAAAGAGAUUCAAGCUGAAUUGCGAGACACAAUGGGAGAAAGACGUAGACAUGUAAUUGAUGAGAAGGAUGAGGAGAAGGAUGAUGAUGAUGAAGAUCUGUAUAUGUAUCUGGUUGACAUGCACCCUGAUGAGCAACAUACUUAUAAAGUGGCAGUUUGAGCUCAAAAGCUAAUGAAUGGAAUUGGAAACAAGAAGAACCUUUUGUAAGAGGCAAAAGAAAAAUAGGUAUAUGUAAAGUAGAAGACUGACUUAUCAAUUUGAAUUAUUAUUGAUUCUUAACAACUUUAUCAAUAAUAUUAAAUUAACAUAUAUGUUUAAUUUUCAUAAUUGCAAUAGGUGAGUCUUCACAUCAAACUAAUCCAACAAGGCAUAUGCAAAGAUUGCAAAGUACUCAACAUUCAUAUCCAUCACUGCCUAUUGCACCUUCAUUGUACAAAUCUCCAGCAGCAAAAUAGAAAAGUGUUAAAAAUCUCUUUAAAGGUGGUAUCAUCAAGGAAACCAUGAGAUGAUUGAUCAGUAAGUUCUUCAUAUAUGAGAGUGUUGCACCCAAUAAAGUAGAUUCUCAUCACUUCAAGAACAUGAUUGUUGGUGCACAAGCAGGUAAUUACUAUAACCUUAAAAGUGUUAUUUAUUUGAAGAAUAUCAUUAUUAUUUAUAAAGUAUGAUUCCCAAAAGUAUUCUUAUAUGCUUUAAUUAUAUAUGGAUGGUAGGUAUGGAUAUAAAACUGCCGUCUCCAUAUGAGAUCAAACACAAGUACUUGGAUAUGAAGUAAAGAGAUAUGAAAGCUUAUGUCAAUAUUCAAAGAGAAAAGUAAAAGACUUAUGGAUGCACGAUUAUGCGUGAUAGAUGGAUUGGGCCUAUGAAAUUAAGCAUAAUUAAUUUCAUGGUAUAUUCAAAAGGCAAUACAAUUUUCCUUAAAUUUGUCGAUUUAUCAAAUUGUAUAAAUGGUAGCAAAUACAUAUAUGGUUUGUUGAAGGAUGUGAUCAAGGAAGUUGACCAAGAAAAUGUGGUACAAAUAGUUACAAAUAACGGGGCAACAUUUGUGAAGGCGAGGAAAUUGUUAAUAAAGAAAUACAAUUUAUAUUGGACUCCAUGUGCAACACACUACAUCGACUUAAUGUUUAAAGACAUUGGUAAAAGGCUCAGUGUUGUAAUGUGAUAACCAACUUCAUCUAAAACCAUAGUUGGUUACUUACGCAUAUGUGGAAGGUAUGUGGUGGAGACAUAGUUCGCCUUGGAGCAAUAAGGUUUGCAACCAAUUAUAUUGCCCUCAAUAGUUUUUUGAAAAAGAUGGUGGACUUAAAGAAAGUGUUUAUCAGUAAUGAAUGAGCACACCACAAGUUAAGUCGCAAACUAAUCGGCCAAGAGGUUGAAAAACUUAUGUUUGACCAUGCGUAUUAGGAGACAGAAGCAAAACUAGUGUCAAUCUAUGAGGCACUAUACAUGGUUCUUCAUGACGUCGAUUCAAAGUUGUUUCAACAAUGCCAUUUGUUUACAAAUUUAUUCAAGUGAUAAAAGAGAACCUCACUCAACUUAAUGCUAGAGAAUGGAUGUUAGAAAUAAUAGCGGAUCAUUGGGAUAGAACUCUUAAACAUCUUCUUCAUGCAACAGGUAACUAAGUAUUAUCCAUCUUAAAAAGUUAUUGAUAUUUAAUAUGUUUUUUUUUAUAACAUUCUAAUUCUAUAUUUCUACUUCACUAUUGUAGCAUUCUUUUUCAAUCCAAGGUUUCAAUAUAGACAUGGAGUUUAUAAUGAUCCUGAUCUACUUCAAACUAUUCAUGAUGUUUUUGCAAAAUUAGAUCCUAUAACGGAAGGUCUCAGUCAAUUUGGAAAUGAGGUAAAUUAUUAUGGUUAUAAUACAAAUUAAAUCAUUGAAUUUCAUUUACACAAUUUUUUACUUUGAAGUAUUCAAUACGUGGCUUAUACUAUUUCAAGAUGCAAAGAGAGGAUUCUUUGAUUAAGCAACGAUUGCUUCGAGCUCAGAAUUAUUUAUGAAUAAAAAAUAAAUUUCAUUAGCAUAUUAUUGUAUAUUUCCAAUAUAAUUAUUGAUUUCAUUUAUUUUGUUGUAGCUGAAUGGUGGUUCAUGUAUGGAAACCACAUUCUUACAUUAAGAAGGUUGGUCAUUAAGGUUUUAUCGCAAACUGCAUCAUCUUUAACUUGUGAGAGAAAUUGGAACACGUUUGCCCUAAUUUAUACAAAACAAAAAAAUCGGCUAGCUUACUCGAAGCUCCAAUAUUUAAUUUUUUGUUAUAAUAACAUAAAACUAAAGAUACAUGAUAUAGAGGCAAAGAAUAAAAAAGUUGCGAAGAAGAUUACCUCGAUUUACUCGACAUUUCUAUCAAGGUUGGUGAAGAAAAAAAUAAUCAAUUUUUCCAACGGGUUAGACUUCUUCAUUUAGAUGAUGAAGAUGGAAAUCCUAACCUACGAAUUGCUGCACAUGUUCGAGAAACAGGUGUUGAUGUUGAACGAGUGUUAUUCGAAGAAGUUCAUAUCAAUAGUUUCAACUAAGACAUGAGAGAUUCAUUUCUACGAGGAAUUUCUUAGCUGACAGUCAUUUGUUAACCUUCCUUUGAUUCCACAAGUGUUAAACACAAUAGCAGACCUAGUGCUGCUGGUACUUCUGCUUUCGGUUAAGAUGGUUCAAAAGGAGAGAGGACCAAUGAUGGUAGCAACCUUGGAAAUGAUGAAAGAGAUAAUAGACAACAACAACAAAGUAGACGAUCAUUGAGCCUAUUCACUUGUGAAGAUGAUUUCACACACUAUACUCAAGAUGAAGACCACAACUCUAGAAGAGUUGGUCCAGGUGUUGGAUGCAUGGGAAAGCUAUAUAGAGGAAGACAACAAAUGACGACACCAUACAAUGAGGACUCAUUUUCGGCCAGUUUUGGGUCAAUGAAUGUAGAGACUCAAUUUAGUGACUCGUUAAAUAAAACCAACAUUUAUGCCCCUUAUACAAUGGCAUUGAUGGGUUUUGUUCAACCUUCUCUAAAUCCUUCAAGUUCCACUAAUGAAGAGUAUGAAAUGUAUAACUAUCAUUCUUCUACACAAAGGCCACACUAUCUUCCAUAUCAAAUGCAACAAGAAGGAUUUCAAACGAGUACAUGGGAAAACCUUAGGUUUCCAAUCCAUGGAGAAGUUGUGGGUAGGACUCAAGAAAUUUAUGCAUGACAUUUUCGUACUUACAAUCAGUAUUAUCAAAACUCCAUGUCUUGGUAUGAACAUUGUCUUCAACAAGAUAUGAUCCUUUCAUCUAACAAUGUGAUGGAACUACAUUGACCAUAAUUUUGGUACUAAGGACUAUUGCAAUGUAAUAUAUAUUGUGUAUAAAUUGUAUUCAUUCAAUAAAAUCAAAUAUUUGUUAACUCAAUUCUAACUUUCUAGGUGUGCACUUCCAAAAUUCAUAUUUUCUAUCCUUAAAAUCAAAGUAUCAAAUUUACUGAUAUAUCUCUCUGCCUACCGAUAUUUUUCUCAUUGACCAUAACUAUGUCAAUACACUUAUAGAAUAAUUUUAACAUGUGUAUUAUUGCUUAUUUUAUUAUUUUUUUUUUGAAGUUUUUUUCAAGCAUUCCCAUGAAUUUUGAAUAAUUUUUGUCCCAUCGAUAUUUUUAUCAAAAUAUCUAUCAAUAUUUUUAUCAAAAUAUCCAUCAAUAUUUUUAUGAUAUUUUCGAAAUAUCCGCAAAAUCCAACUAUCGAUAUAUUUAUGUUUAUUGAUAUUUCAAAAAUCGGCUAAAAGUAUCAUUGGGGUCGGAAAAAUGUGACACACUUUUGAUUUAGGGUAAGGUAUAUUAUCAAUUGUUACAUGCUCCACGUUUUAUGUAAUGGUGAAAUAACAUGAAAUGCAUGUGAAUUUUUACACAAUAACACCAAUCGACACAACUCUUCAGAAUAAUGACACCAUAAUUUUUAUAAAAAAAAAUCACUUAUGGGUGUGCUAUUUUUUCCUAGCGCACUUUAAGGAUGAACGACUUUAGUAUGUAAAAAUUUUAAUUCCUAAAAAAUUUAGAAGAAAAUUAAUAUAAAAUAUUAAAUACAUUUUUAAAGAAAAAUAUAAUUGUAGACCCCCCGAGGAGCUGAGGGCGGGGCUUUUAUUAUUACUUUUUGCUGUUUUUCGGAGGCCCUCUCGAGUGGGCUGCUCUCAGGCGGCUAGAUGGGACGGGUGGCAGAGCAAGUAGUGGCUUGCUGAAGAAGACACGGGAGCAGGAUGUCAGAGAGGGGGGGAAGUUUUUCUGCUGUGGUUUUUUUUUCUGAGAGAGGGGGGGUGUCUUUUGGAGCUGGUCAUUGAGGGGAUAUAGUUGAAGAGAGAAAGAGCGGAGUGCCGGGGUUUGAGGGAGAUUCUAGCUGGAGAAGAGAUUCUCUGUUUUUAUAGGUAUUUUUGCUUGAAGAACUUAGGUACGAACACGGCAAUCCUCUCAUUUCUCGUUAUUCACUGUUUUUUGCUUCAGAUCGUUAUUGUUUCUUUCUGCAUUAUAUUGCUUGGAAUGGAUAUUGUAGGCCAUUUUGUUUGUUUGUUGUGAUAACCCUGUUUUUGUGUUUACCAUGCUUUCAUGCACCCUGUCUGUUUCAUUGAGGAACACCAUCCAAAAUCUUCAUACCCAUUUCACGUGCCAUGCAUGCCAUCACCUUUCCUCUCUCUACCAUCAAGCCCACCAUACCCACCUUCAUACCCACUGAACCCGUGGCUUCUUUCAUCACCCGUGCCAUCACUCCAUCCCAACCUUGCAACAUCCAUGCAAACACCCAUCUUCCCAUACCCAUCUUUACGCCAAUCCCACCCCUCGCCAUCUUUUCUUCUCUGCAACCGCGUAUCCACCAUCACUCACACCUCCAUGCGCGCGAGUCUUCUUCAGUGGCUGGGGAACGGGCAGCAGCCGAGCAAGCCUUCCAUUCCCCACGGACCUCGUCGGAGCCGCCUUCGGGGUUCGGCGCCGCUGUUUCGGCUCGGGGGCGUCUCUCUAGGCUGUCGGCAGCAGCCUGCUUGCUGUCCUCUUCAAUGGCUUCCGCGGCGUGGACGUCCAUCUCUGCUGGUGUCGUGGCUUCGAAAGCCACGCAUCACCACCGUCUCGGCGCCACCAUCCCUGCCCCUAUCCUCAACGUCGCUGCAGGUGGAGACUUUGCCUGAGGGAGUUGCCCAGCUGGAUGGGGCCUUGGGCUGUGCAGGGGGCUUGUUUGGUGACGGGCUUGGUUUAGCCCAUGAUGGCUUUGGGCUUGGGUUUUCCAGGCCCAAGCCUAUGCUGAAGGUGGAGCCUUGAGUCUUGCCCAUUGAUGUCAUUGGACCUGGGUUUAAGUUGGAGCCCAGGCCCAUUCACAUUGAUGAAGGCCCUAUGCCAAUUCCCCUUAUUAAAGUGGCCCAUGCCCACUUCAAGUUAGCCCUUCAGGCUGCCCAAUUCCUAAAUAAUCAUUUUUUUUUAAAAUAAAACAAAACCUCUAAUAUCCAUAAUUAAUUAAUCAAAUCACUUCCUUUUAUUUGUUACCUUAUUUUUACCCAUUUAGUUAACUCAUGACAAAUUAUUAUUGUUAAUUAUAUUUUUAUCUUGGAGCUUAUGUUAUUCAAUUUAACUAGUUUAAACAUUAUGAUUGUUAAUUAUUAUUAUUACUUCGUACGCAUCUAUUUAUCAUCUUUUGAAAAUCUCAGUCAUCAAAGUUAAAUUCUAACCCUUGAAAAAUCCCAUAUCCUAAUUUAAUCUUUCAAUAAUCUAUUUAAAUCCCAUUUUCAUCAAUUAAGAAUUAUCACCAUAUAUGUCUAGCUAUUUAAAGUCUAAGGUUUUCAAAUAAAUCAUGUGUCUUAAUUUAAUUAUUCAAUAAUUAGUUCAAAUCUCAUUAUCACCCGUUAGAGUUAGUAUCCCAUAUUUAUAUACUAAUUUAAAAUCCAACCCUUCAUAAAUCCAAUGUCCUAGCUUAAUUUUCAAACUCCUUAAAAUUCCACUAUUCUUUUCAUCUUGUUUUAACUGAUUAUUUUCGUUAAUUAGCAUUAUCAUCCUAUAUUAGUUUAUUUAUUCAAAAUUCAACCCUUUAAAAAAAAAAGAUCCAAUGUCAUAAUUUAAUUCUCGAUCCUAAAAUCCCACUAUUUGUCUAAAUGUUAUUUUCUUUAAUUUGAAUUAAUAUCCUAUAUUCAUUUAUUUAUUUAAAGUCUAAUCCAUUAAGAAAAUCCCAUGUUUUAAUUUAAUUCCUCAAAUACUCUUUUAAAUCUCAUAUUUAUCAAUUAGAACUACUAUCCUAUAUUCUCCUAUCAAUCUAUGUCAAUCCUUCAAAAAAUCCUAAGUUUUAAUUUAAUUCUUGUUUAAAUCAUAUUUUUAUAAAUCAAAUCAUUAUCCCUUAUUUAUUAUUUAUUCAAAGCCCAAUCUAUAAAAAAGGUCACAUGUUUUAAUUUAAUUCCCCAAAAACUCUUUUAAAUCUCAUAAUUAGAACUACUAUCCUAUAUUCUCCUAUCUAUCUCUGUCAAUCCUUCAAAAAUCCUAAGUUUUAAUUUAAUUCUUGUGUAAAUCAUAUUUUCAUAAAUCAAAUCAUUAUCCCGUAUUAUUAGUUAUUCGAAUUCUAAUCCAUUAAGAAAAUCCCAUGUCAUAAUUUAAUUCUUCAAAUGCUCUUUUAAAUCUCAUAUUUAUUCAACUAGAAUUAUUAUCUUAUAUCCUCCUAUUUUAUUUAUACCGAUCCUUCAAAAAUCUCAUGCUUUAAUUUAAUUCUUCAAAUACUUGUUUAAAUCUCAUUUUCAUAAAUCAAAUCAUCAUCCCGUAUUAUUAAUUGUUCGAAUUCUAAAUCCAUUAAGAAAAUCCCAUGUCCUACUUUAAUUCUUUAAAUGCUCGUUUAAACCUUAUGUUCAUCAAUGAGAAUUAUUACCCUAUCCAUUCACCUAUUUUAUUUAUACCAAUCCUUCAAGAAUCCCAUGUUUUUAAUUUAAUUCUUCAAAUACUUGUUUAAAUCAUAUUUUCAUAAAUCGAAUUAUUAUCCCACAUUUAUUUAGUUAUUUAAAAUCUAAUCCUUCAAAAAUCCCCUGUCUUAAUUUAGUUUCUCAGUAAUUCAUUUAAAUCUUAUUUCCAUCAAUUAGGAUUAUUAUAACGUAUUCGUCUAUUUAUUCAAAACCUAGUUCUUCAAAAAUCUCUUGUCUUAAUCCAAUUUUUCAAUCCUUAUAAAUUUUACUGUUCGUUUAAAUUUUAUCCUCAUCAAUUAGAAUCAUUAUUUCCAUAUCUAUGCAAAGUCUAAUCUUCCGAAAACCCCAUGCCUUAAUUAAAACUUCAAUCCCAAAAAUUCUAUUAUUCAUCUUUAUUCACCGAAAUGUUAUUCUCGUUAAUUAGUAUUAUAAUCACAUACCUACCUAUUUAGUCAAAGUCAUAUCCCUUAAAAAUCCAACGCCCUAAUUCAAAUUCUCAAUUAGAAAAAUUCCACUAUCCUCUUUUUUAUUCGUUUAAACAUUAUUUUUGUUCAUUAAUAUCAUCACUCCAUACUUAUUUACUUAUUUAUUUCGAUCAUUAAAAUUCAAUUCUUCAAAACCGGACCUCCAAAUUUAACCUUGAGACUAAAAAAAUUCCACCAUUCUCUUUUAUUCAUUCAAAUAUCAUCUUUGUUAUCAUUGUUAUAAAUUCCACGUUUACUUAUUUCUUUCUUCUAAAAAUUCCAAUAAUUAGAGUCCAAUUAUUCAAAGAUCCGGCUUUCAAACUUAAUUUUCAAAAUCCCACUAUUCACUAUUCAUCCGUCCAAAUAUCGUUUUGAUUAAUUAACAACAUUAUUCCAUAUUUACCCAUUUAUUUCUCUUAAAAAUCUCAAUCAUUAAGGUCUAAUUCUUUAAAAUUCCAAUUUCUAAAUUUAGCUAUUUGAAACUUCAAUUGUCCAAUCUCCGAACUUAAUUUUCAGUUUCCCAUGCUCCAAUUCCCAUAUUUAUCCCGCUACUUAUUAUUAUCAUUAUCAUUAUUAUCUUAUUCAUUAUUUCUAUAAAUUCCGUCUUCGAAUGAUUUCUAGGAUUUCCAAUUUUUACACAUCAACUUUCGUUUUUAAAAUUCCAACCUCUUUCAAAUUCAUUUUCUAAAAAUUCUCAUUCUCAGGUUCAAUCUCUAAAAGUCUAAUCUCCAAAUAAAUUUUAAAACUCCAAUUUUCUAGUGAUCUUCGAGAUUCCAAUUUUUCAAUUAAAUUUCAAAAAUCUAAUUUUCUCCCGAGUAGUUUUAAUUCUGCUCUGGCUUUUAAACAAUCUUCUGCUCCUCUGGACUUUAAUAAGCAAGAACGAAUCUUCAUAAUUCCGAAAUAAUGGGAUUCGUGAGAUUUAAUUCAUGCAAUGUAAAUCGGGUUUUGGUGGGGGCCCAACAUAUGUGAUUUCCUUAUGAUUGAUUGAUUGUUUGUUUGAUUUAAUUGUCAUGCAUGAUCGAUUUUAUUUUGCUCUAUGACAUGCUCGAAAUUAUUCCUUAAUUAUGCGCUAACCUCACUUCUUGAUAGCGCUUUAUGGAUCACUGCCCAGGUACGCAUCCACACUCGCUUGGGUCAUUUUUCUGUAUGCAUGUUUAGAUUCCCACAUGUGCAUGAUCACUCUGAGCAUUCAUUGAUUCUCUCAUCAAUUUCCAUUGAUUGCUUCAUUUUAUUAGUAGAGACCCAUUUUUUUUUUAGGGACUUAGAGGGGUGCUACGGUCUCUACCGUACCUUCCCGAUAAGUAACCUGACCCCCGAACCCGAUCCGGUUUCCACGGACCACCUUUUCCAAAACAAGGAGUCACGCUUAGGGUUUUUCUUUCUUAUUUUGUUUACCCUUUAAAAAUCAAACAAAAAUAAGUGGCGACUCCAAGUCAUUUUUAAUCAUAAAAUCAUUUUUUCAAAUAAAAAUCGAGCUCGCCAUCGAGUGGGGAACGCAUGAGCCGAAAUGCGGGGUCCACAAUAAUUUAUUUUUUAUUUUAUGUAAAUAAAAAUUAAAAAUUUUAACCAGACAAAAUGUUAGAAUCACAAUCAACUUUUUAUUUUAUAUUAAUAAAAAUUUAAAUAUUUUAAUCAAACAAUUAUAAUCAUAAGCAAAAAGUUAAAACCAUGAUCAUUAAUUCUAAUUUUCAUAUAAAAAUUUAAAAUUUAAAAUUAAUAUGAACAAUAAAAUAAUAUGAUAAAGAUAUUUUUAUUGAAUAUAUAUAUAUAUAUAUAUAUAUGAUAAGAAUUAUUUUAUUUAGUAUACAUAUAUAAAAUCUUACAUCUUAAAUUUCUAAAUUUGUUUAUUAUGUAUUUAUUUUUAUAUUAAUUUUUUCUCAUUAAUUAUUUAUAUAUGUUAUUAUUUUUAUUUUGUGUGUAAAGUAUUCAUGAAUAAUUAAAAUCAAUAAAUAUGAAAAUAUGAAAGAGUGAAAAAAAAAACAAAAUUAAAAAGAUUUCUUGAGAGAAUGUACAUAACAAAAAAAUGUUGUGACAUGACUUUUUAGGUAGGAGAGAGAUAGAAGGAAAAAAAAAUAAUGUGACAUGUUGAUUCGUCAAACGUCAAACUUAAAAAAAUUUGAUAAGGAUGAUGAGUUCUCUUGACUUAUAAUCCUAAGGUUAAAAAAAAAAAAAAUUGGGUGAGUUGACUUGAGCAGAAGAGAAGAGUUUGAGAACAAUCUUGAAAUUUUAUUUAUAUUAAUUAUUUUAAGUGCAUGUUUUUUUUUUCUAUGACAUGCUUUUUGAAAGUCAAAAGUAAAAGUUAAAAAAAAAUAGUAAUGUAUUUUUACAUGAUUUUCCCAUAACAAAAUAAGGGGGAAUUAUGUAAGCAUACAUUCUUUAUAAAAUAUGGAUGAAUUCAAAACCCCCAAAAGUCACUUUCAUGGGGAGUGCAUUUUAAGGAAAACCACUUUCAUUUUAUGCACUAGAAUAGUAACUUCGUACAUAUUUCCAAGACUACCCUUCAACCAAUUGAAGGUGAGUUGUCAUCUACACAAGACAAAUUGAUAGGUAUACUUGAUUGGACUUAUGUAUACAACUGUCACAUUAACCAUCACUACUUUAGCUUCUACAUCAAACAUGCUAUUUCCUUUAACCUUUACAUCAAAUAUGCUAUUGGAAAUAGUAACAUUAUUUUUACCUAAAAGUAACAAUGUUAAUAACUAAAAGCACCCUUAUGGAUAAAAGGAUGUGUUGGUUUAUUUAUCACUCAUCACUACCUCAACUUUUAUAUCAAAUAUGUCACCGGAGAUAGUAACAACGUUUUUAUUUAAAAGUAACAAUGUUAGUAACUAAAAGUACUACUGUAAAUAACAUAAUAUAUUUGCAUAUUUAGUUUUUUUGUUGUCAUUGCUAUGACUUUGCCAGUGAUUAUUAAAUAAUAUGCCAAAAUAAAAUACACAUAAUGAACUUUAAAAAAAAUAUUAUUUAUUAAAAAUGAAAACAAUUUUAAUGGUUUAAAAGUUUAAUUAAACGAAAAUGUACUUUUUUACGUAUUUAAUAAAAAAAACAUUAGUUUUUUUUUCUUUUUUUAAUAUCAAUGUAUUAUGUUGGGAAUUGUAAAUUUAUAUUCAAAAAUUUAAUGCAAACAUUUUUAAAAUUUUAAUUUUACCUACCUUCAAAUAUAACUUUUAAAAUUAAAUACUCUAAAAGAAUGAUCAUCACUAAUUUUUUUGUUGAAUGAAGUUAAAGGUAAGUUAACAUUUUUUUUUAUAUAUUAUUUUUCUGUUUUUAUUUUGAAGAAAACAAAAAAUGUAUAUUUCAACACAUGUAGAUAAUGUUUUUUUAAUUUUUAUUAAAAAAUUAGCUUUAAUAUUCUAUAAAAAAAUGAGAUCCAUAAUAUGAAAAUUAUAAAUAUUAUAUAUAUAUAUAUAUAUAAAUAAUUGAAAUCAAUAUUAUUAAAAAUAUUAGUAUUUAUUUAUUUAUUAGAUUAUUAAUUAUUAUAGGUGAGUAUAUUUGUAUAUUAAAAACUAAUUUAUUUUAAUGUGUGAAUUACACAUGAUGUUAAAAUAAAACUUUAAUAAAGAAAAUGAAUAAAUGAAUUAUACUUUUAAAAAAUAAAAUUUGCCUUUUUAAUUGAGUAGAUUUUCAAAAAUAGGGAAAAAAAAGAAGAUAAGAAUUAUUUUACAAAAUUAAUUAAAAUCAUAGUAUUAAAAAAAAUAAUUUAUUUAAUUGUAAUUAAAAACUUAAUUUGAUUUGGUGAGAAUGUGGGAAUAGGAGCGACCAGUACGGAGAGGGAAAAAGGAAAAAAUGAAACAAGAGAAACAAAAAGUGGGAAAAGCCCAAACUUGGGCCAUUCAAGUUAAAAUAAAUAAAUAAUAAUAACUAAGAUAGAAAGAAAGAAAAAAAGGUUGGUGCGCUCACCUUCUAUAAAUAUAUACAAAAUUAUUACUUUAUAAUAUGAAAUGAGAAUUAUUUUCUCUGCUUAGACUCUAAUGAAAAUGACCUUUUCGAAUUUUGAAUUCAUUAUGAGAAUGUGGGAAUAGGGGCGACUAGUAUAAAGAGGGAAAAAGGAAAAAAUGAAACAUGAGAAAAAAAAGUGAAAAAAGCCCAAAACUUGGGCCAUUCGAGUUAAAAGAAUAAAUAAUAACGACUAAGACAUAAAGAAAGAAAGAAAGAAAAAAAAAAGGUUGUUGCGCUCACCUUCUAGAAAUAUCUACAAAAUUAUUAUGAAUUAUUUUCUCCUGACUCUAAUGAAAAUGACCUUUUUGAAUUUUGAAUUCAUGAUGAGAAUGUGGGAAUAGGGGUGACUAGUAUAAAGAGGGAAAAAGGAAAAAAUGAAACAUGAGAAAAAAAAGUGAAAAAAGCCCCAAACUUGGGCCAUUCGAGUUAAAAGAAUAAAUAAUAACGACUAAGACAUAAAAAAAGAAAGAAAAAAAAGAAAAAAAGGUUGGUGCGCUUACCUUCUAGAAAUAUAUAUAAAAUUAUUAUGAAUUAUUUUAUCCUGACUCUAAUGAAAAUGACCUUUUUGAAUUUUGAAUUGACGAUGAGAAGAUGUUUACAUAAUUUCCCCUUGAAAUGAAGGAAGAAAGUGAGAUUUGUGAGAGACAUGUGAUUUUUAUGAUAACUUUUGUAAAGGCACUAGAAGAAAACUUAUUCAAAUUAUAGAAGCGUAGUUUGACACGUCUCGAAUCCGCCCUGUUGGAGGUCCUUUUCUUCGGAGCCUAGAUUGUUUCAGGUGCCUUUUCAUAGGAAAUUGUAAAAUUUAAGAUAGUUUUGAAUGUAGAGAUGGGACAUAUAGCGGGACAUCAGUGGCACCAAUGAUUGGAAAGAGAGUAAGGGAAAUUGUUUUUAGAAAGUAAUAAUAUUUUUUUGUAUCACCGAAAGGGCUGAUGUCACCGGUGCGAAUCAGUCAUAGGAGUCUCCCGUAAGAAACAUAUCUAUAAAUAAUAUGAUAAGGAUUUCUAUUUAUUUGGAAUACUUAUUUUAACCUUUUGAUUGAAUAUUUUCCAAUUACUUGUACAACAUAUUAAACUUGGGAUUUGGAAAUAAUUUUAUUAUUAAUUAGGUUGACCCAAAUGGAAAAUAGGUAUCAUAGAUUAAACUUUGAAAGAGACAGGAUGAUAUUUCUGUCCACAUGUCAUUGGUGGAGUUCCAAAUUCUAGGAAAGGUUACGUGCACUACUUAAGUCUGAAAUGGAAAGUGGGGAGAAUCCAUCAGAUAUGACAACUUUGAAGGUUAGUGGUAAAAAAAAAGCAAUGGUUUUAAAAGCUACUUAAAUAAACCGAGACAUCAGAAAACUUUUGUUAUCUUAAAGAUAGAAAGUAGAUAAUACAUCCAAGCAAACACUUUGAGUCUGAGCUCCCAAAAUUCAUGGGGUAUUGAAUGUGUUGUUUUAGUGAUUGGACCAUGGUAGAACGUGUGGAAAUGGGCUUGGGUUGAGGUCUUUAGGCCUGAGAUCUAAUUGUCUGUGUCCUAGGUUCAAGCCCACCAUGCCCCGCCCAAUUUGUACCUUGAUAUUGGCACCAACGAAUAAACAAUGGAGGUCAGCUUUGCUUUAAUUUCUUUCAUUCUCUUUUGAAUGACACCGGGGGCACAUGUGUAAAAUUGAGAAAGAAACUUGGGCAAAACAACCACAAAAGGUCCCUAUGAAUGUGGAGGGGAGACAUUAACCCACAAAAGGUGCCUAUGAAUGUACGAAUGUGGAGGAGAGUCUUUAAACCAUGAAAGGUACCUAUGAGUGUAUGAAUGUGGAGCAGAGUCUUUAACCCACAAAAGGUCUCUAUGAAUGUGAAGGGGAGUCUUUAAUAACUUAACUUAAGCUAUUAAAUAGAUUAAGUAUAUUUAUUACAAUAACUUAACAUCAUAGUUUAAAAAGUUAAAAAUGAUUUUAAAUAUUAAGCUAAAAUAAUUAAUUUAUUUUUAUUUAAAUCUAAAGCUAUAUUUAUAAAAAGAAUAUUAAGAUUAAUAUAAAUUAAGUUAUUAAAUUAUUUUAAGUUGGAUGAGUUGAUUUAUCAAGCACCCUCUUAGUUUGCUUAAUUUUCAAAAAAUUUGAGAAAAUGUGAGGAGAGAGGCAAAUAAAAAGAGGAAGUAGAAAAAAAAGUAAAUAAAUAAAUAAAUUUAAAGUUUAUAAAUUAUUAAUAGUCGAUUUUAACUAACUUUUAAAAGAUGGGUCAUAUGAGUUGAUGCCCCUUAGCUGUAUAUACUUGCCCCAUUUACUGGGGGAGGCAGCUAGAGCCGAGGGGAGGCAGCAUAAAAAGAUCUACUUUUCGUUUGAACCCAAGACUCAUAUUACCCCCCUUAAUAAUGACAGGCUUGGACCCUUGGGUUAAGGCCCGUAUAUGCAUUAAAAGUUGCCCCUUGAAUCAAAUUGUUGGCUUCCCCACUGAUCACAUUAAUUUCCUUUAAUCUAUCAAAGUAGAAGUGGGUUAAGCCAUAAUUUUUCACCUCAUAUAAUGAAAAUGUAACCUCAAAGGAGUUUAAGUUGUAAAAGCCCAAUUUCCCUAGUUUGAUAUCCAUCCUAUAUUUUUGGGUUAGAAUAAUACACACUCAGCCCAAUCCAAAAUUUUAAGAGAGAGAUCUCGGCUGAGUCGAAACCAAUUUGCCUGACCCCUAGGUUAUGAACGGGUCACGGAAACUUGAAAAAUGCGACUCGUGCGGUAGCAUUUUGAUAGGGGUUACCAAAUAUAUUAUAUUUAAUAAUAUUUUUAUUCCAAGUGUUUUUACUUUAAAUAUUUUUGGGACAAUUAUCUAUCAAAUAUUUCUUUAUAUAAUAUUAUAAAUGGUUUUUCAAUCUUUUAAGAAUAAAUAUAUAUUUGACAAAUUUCUGUAUGAAAUCUUCCUAUCUAAUUAUGAAAUCUUCCUAUAUAUAAUAUAAUUGAGAUUUUGGAAUUUGAGAACUCUAAGAUUGUAAUCUCUUUCAAUUAUAGUAAAAGUUAUUUUUUGUUUUUAUCCGUGAAUAUAGACUUCAAGUCAAACCACGUAAAUCAUUAUAUAUAAAUAUGUGUUUUUAUUUUCAUCCUCUUUUUCUUUCCCCUAUAAUUAUUUUCUAUCACGGUUUUUCACAAUAAAGAGAAUAUCGUUCAAUUCAAGGUUAUAAUGUAUAUAUUGCCUUUAUUAUAACGUUAAGGUCGUAUUUUUUAUUUUUUACUAUUUAUUUGCAUUUUUUUUUAUAGAUUUUACAAGUUUACAAAUGAUUUAUAUUUUAAGAUAAAUUUUAUUUUAUUUUUAGAUAUUUUAUCUAAAUACAAAAAUAUGAAAGCUUUAACUUUUAUUUAAAACCUCAUUUCCCAAUGAUCUUUUGUAUCAAUUUUUCAUAUUUAAAAUUCCAAAAGAAAAACAAUGUCAUCCUAAUUAGUGAAAAGAGUUUAUCCACCCUCCAAUUAGGGAGAAAAAGUCAUCCCUAAAAAGUGAAUGGGGUUAUAAUAUCUUUGAAUAAAUUAAAGAUAAGUGUUAAGAUACAAAUAAUUCUUAUUCGGUAAUCACUACUCUACCACGUGUGUGAGGAUUUCAACAAAAAAAUAAUUAAGUUUCGAGACUUAUAAGCAUGGAUUGGAAUUUGGGUUUUUAUCGGUGAUAUUUCUUCUGAUAUCUCGGAUAUCGGACAACAUUGAUUAUCAUUGAACGGAGGGAUAUUGAAAAUAAAUGAAAUAUCGGCUCUGGAAUCGAUAAAUCGGAGGAAUAUCAGAAAAAUAUGAAAUAUCGGCUUUGGAACCGAUAAAUCAGCAAUAAAAUCGGAGUAGAGCGACAUGCGGAGCAAUCGGGAAGAACAGAAAAAAGUCGUCGAUUUUUUGGGGUUUUUUUUUUGAAAAUUUCCAAUUUUGAAUUUUUGACAAUCCAUAACCCAAAUUUCACCCGUGUUUUUAUAUUAUCAUUUUAUUUUAUAUUAUCAUUUUAUUUUUAACACUUUUCAUAUUUAUCUCAUUAAUCCUAUUUUUUAAAAUUAUUAUCACUUCACUCUUAAAUUUUUUAAUAUUUAUCCUUUCAAUUUUAUUUAAAUUUUAAAUGUUUUUGUUUUAAAAUAUUAAAAAUAUAAUCUUACCCAAAAAAUUGCUAUAAUAUAAAAAAUUAAGAAAGUCCUAAUAUUUUAUAAAUUAAAAUUAAUUUGAUAAGAUAAAUUAUUAAUAAUUUUAAUCAUUUAAAUAAAUUAUGUUAAUAGAAAAAGUUAUUACCACAUAUUUUUAAUAAAAUUUUAAAAAUUAAAUCUCAAAUAAAAUAUUUUAUAUAAAUUAAUUUAAUUUUUCAUUUAAAAUGUAAUAAAACACGUUUUAAUAAAAGUAUUUUAAAAAUUUUAAAAUAAAUAUUGUCUUUAACAAGAUGAACUCCCUUCAUCUAAUAAUAUGAUGAAAUCACAUCGAUCUUUAUUUUGGUAUUAAGGAUUAUUGCAAUAUCAUAUGUAUUAUAUUUAUAUAUAAAUUGUUUUUAUUCAAUAAAAUCAAAUAUUUCUUAACUCAAUUCUAACUUUAUACACUUCCAAAAUUCAUAUUUAUUAUUCUUAAAAUCCAAGUAUCCAAUUUACCGAUAUAUCUCUGCUUACCUACUGAUGUUUUUCUUCUUAAUCAUAUUUAUAUCAAUUACACUUACAAAAUAACUUUAAAAUAUGUAUUUUUGCUUAUUUUAUCAUUUUUUGGAGUUUUCCAAAUAUUCUUAUGAAUUUUGAAUAAUUUUCGCUCCAUCAAUAUUUGUAAAAAAAUAUUCACUGAUAUUUCUUCAAUAUUUCUAAUAUAUCUAUAAAAUCAAAGUAUUGAUAUAUCCAUGAUCACCAUAUUUUCAUCAUCGCUUACAAGCAUAAAAGGAGAGUAUUGAUAUUAUUAUUAAUAUUUUUUGCAUACCUUAAGAUACGAGCUAGUAAGAGAAGUUGACAAAAAGGAAUGCUUUUGACCAACAUGUGAAGCACGUCAACAUAAUAUCAUAUUUGAGAAUAGAGGGGAUGUACAUGUAAUAUUGUCCCACUCAAAUCAACACCCCAAAAAAAGACAAAAAAUUAAAAUAAUAAAUAAAAUAGAUAAAAUAUAUAUUUGAUAAAAUUUCAAAUAAAUAGAAAUUAUGUAUAUUUUGGCUAUGUUUGGUUUUCGAAAAAUGUGAGAGAAAGAAAAUUGGGAGGCAUGAUAAAUGCGAUCUAUUAUAUUAUAUUAUAUUUUUACUUAAAUGAGUCUCUUCAAAUAAAAAAAACAUGUAAAAGAUUAAAUUCACAAAUAUAAAAUUAUUUCAUUCCUUUUAACCAAUUAAUUAAUUAUUUUCCCAUUUUCAUAAAUUAAAAAAAAAAACAAAAAGAAAAUAAGGAUGAGUUUCAUGUUCUAGAGAAUGUAAACUACACAAAAGAAAAUUAACGUUUGCAUUAGAAUUAGCUCGGCUGCAUGUGUGGACCUAUAUUUGCACUAUAUGAUUAUUUUCCUAUUCAAUCUCAAGACUAAAAAUGAAUAUUAUUGUGGAAUAAUAGAUAUUAAAUUAUAUUUUUGGAAAAAGUUAAUUUCACUUGCCUCUCUUAAAGAUUUGGUUAAAUACAUUUGACCCUAAUUGCUUUAAAAUUUUAUUUCUUGUUGUAAGUAAGAAGUGAGAAGAGUAAAAUAAUAAAUAAAAUAGAUAAAAUAUAUAUUUGAUAAAAUUUCAAAUAAAUAGAAAUUAUGUAUAUUUUGGCUAUGUUUGGUUUUUGAAAAAUGUGAGAGAAAGAAAAUUGGGAGGCAAAAUGGAAGGAAAGAAAAAGCUAAGGAAAGGAAUAUAAAUUUUUUUACUUGUUUGUUUUCCAUGGAAAAUUCAAGGGGGAAAAAAAAAAGAAUUCAUUUUCUUUUGUUUGGUUAACCACAAAAAAAAGUUAAGGAAAAAUGGAAGGAAAACAAAAUCAACAAUUUGUCUUAGAUGGUUAUCAAUAUAAACUAGGGUUUCUUAUAAAUUUAUCGUUAUUAGAAGUGUUGAUCCAUUUUUCACUUCAUAUAAUACCUCAUUGACUUCAAGUUUUUAAUUCUCAUGUUGUAUGUGAUAGAAGUUAUAAUGCUACAAUUAAUAAGUAUAUAUAUACAUAAGUUCAAUCUUUAGCUGAGCUAGGUUGGUGAAGCCUCAAUCCAAGCCCAACCCACCUUUGAUUGGGUUGAGAGCUUGGAUUUUUCGGUUCGGGUUGGACUCAACAUAUGCAACACUACUAGUUUGAUGCAGGUUUAGAAAUUUUGAAAAAUUUAGGGGUCAUGUUGUAAUUUUAUGAAAAUAUAGUGAAGAGUGGUACUCAUAUAUGAGAGGAAGAAACCUUAUAUCCCUCUCUCGUUUCUUACACAACCGCCGUAGCCACACAGCAAGUAGCGGAGCUUCGCCCUCGGUACCGGCGCACUGUCCUUCCACCGUAGCAGCCAGUCUCUGCGCUUCUUUUCUUCUCUCUUUCUUAGAUCUGAUGUGUUGGUUUGACGAAUAUUGUAUCUGAAAAGUUUGUCUUCUUUCUUUUCCCCAUAUUAUGUAUAAUAAGAAUGGACAGAGGGAUGGAUAGUUUUCAUAUUGGGUUAGGUAAGGAAGGAGACUAAUGGGAACUUGAUUUGAAGAACGCACUUCAUCCAUGGGAAUUUAGGUGCCUGAAAAUGGUAGGUUUUUAGAGACAUUGGAAGGUGGUCAAAGUGAUAUUGGUGGCCGUUGAAAGGGUCGACGACGGUGAGGAGCCAUAGCGACCGGUGAAGAGGAAGUUAGAGGUGAACAAAAGACUCGGUGAAGACGAUACCACGAGUCGGAUAAAAUUUCCCCCAACUUUUCUCUUAUUUUUUUCUCUUAUUUUCCUCAUUAUUUUUUAAGGAAAAUAGUAGGGAAAAUAUUAUGAUAUUUUCUUUAAUAUUUUCCUUUAUAUUUUUUUUCCAUCAUAUUUUCCAUGUCAUCCAAACUAAAGAAAAUAAUUUUCCACAUGACUUUUGUCCCUUUUCUUAGCAUUUUCUGUCAUGAAAACUUCGAAAUUAAACUUUCUUGAAUAUAGUUUUGCACUAGUUUUAUUUUUCAAAUAUUUUGAGAGCGUGUUUGGUAUGUGGGGAAGAGGAAUGAGAAUGAAUAUUUUGUUUCCAUUCCUAUUCCCUUUUAAAUAUGAAUUGGUAAUUUUAGUUCUUAUGUUUAGAUGCAUAUAAGAAUAUAAGGUGGGAAUGAUAAUUUGCUUCCAUUUUAAUGUUAAGUAAAAAUGAGAAUGAAAAAAAAAAUUAAAUUAUCAUCUAUUCAUAUGGUUUAAAAUAAUUAUUUUAUUUUAUUUUUAUUUAAAAAAAAAUCUCACAUUGUACAUAGUUUGAAAUAUAUUUUUUUAAUUAAAAAAUCCUUGAGAGUUUUGUUUUUCUUUUUUGCUAAAUAAUAGAAACCUAUGUGAGAAUGUGAUUUAAAAAUAAAUUUGUUUUUAAAAAUUUAUACCACUAUUUGAUUGUAGUUCUUUAAAAACAAAUUUUAAAAACAACCUAAAAUAGAGGAUUGUUCUUCCAUUUUUUUUUCAUUACAAAAAAUGAAUUUCAAAUCAAAUAAGAUUUUGUAUUGAAUUUAUUAAUAAUUUUAAUAAUUUUAAAAAAUAAUUUAAAACUGAUUUUUUUUUUCCUUAGAAUGUAAGACGAAAGGGUACAAAAUUCAGUUGAAUAUGGAUGGGGAACCCCAUUGAUCCUUGAUGCUCAAGGAAGAUCAAUAAGAGAACUUAAACCUAAACACAAAUGGGAUAAAGUCGACAAUGAAGGUAGUGAAGCCAAUGACAUGGCUGUAUUUAGUAUUUUUAACGAAGUUUGUCUUUAUGAGUUUUGCAAGAUAGCAAAUUAUAAACAUGUAAAGGAAUUCUUCAAGUCACUUAUGAAGCUACGCCUGCUAUAAAAAUUUAUAAAUUACAAAUGUUUGCCACUAAAGUUUGAGAAUAUUAGAAUGCAUGGAAAUAAGAAAUUUUCUUAUUUUUUAUUAUGAAUUAAGUGACAUAGUUAACUUUUUUUUUUUUUUUUUUUUUUAAUCUUGGAGAACUUAUUCCAAAUUCAAAGGUAGUUAGAAAAAUAUUGGGAUAUCUACCCAAGCGAUUUAAAUCUAAAGUUACUACUAUAGAGGAAAACAAUGACAUUGAUUUCAUGAGAGUUGAUGAACUUGUAGGCACUAUACUGACAUAUGAGAUGACCCUAUCUAGUUCUCAAAAGCCUAAAGACUAUGUCUUUAAGACUUUUGAGAAUGAGGAAAAAAGAUAUUAAAAUGUCAUAUAACAUAACUAGGGAUGAAUUGACACAUAUAGCUAAAAGAACAAAAAUUGUCAUGAAAUUCAAUAAAAGGUUUUACAAAAACUAAGAAUAUGGAAAAAGAAAGAGACCUGAUGAACAAUCAUAAAAAAAGAAAAAAGAAAUAAAGAAAUAAUGGUUCCUCUAAAGGUAAGAAAAUUAAGUGCUUUAACUAUGGAGGUCUAGAACACUUUGCUAAUGAUUGCCCUAGCCCCAAAUAUAUCAAAAAGUUUAUUUACUGACUUAGAGGAGCUUCCACAACUUUUGAAGAUACUAGGUAUGACCCGAAUGACUUUUAGCUUUUAUUGCAUCUGGGAAUCUGUGCAUGAUAGUGAUUGUGAUUGUGAUAGUGAUGAUGAGUUUACUAAUAAACAAAAGGUUGAAUUCUUGAGUAAUCUUGUUACUGAGCAUGAAAAGCUAAUUAAGAAUUAUUAUAAAGAUCAUGAUAUUCUUGAAGCUCACAAAAACAAGAUUGACAUGCUUAAUGUAGACAAGACUAAUUUACUUGAGAAAAAUUAGAUUUCUUGAAUCUAAAAAUCAUUCUCUCCUUGAAAAGAAUAAUGCUUUCACUCAAGAUAUCAAGAGUAAUAACCCUUUCUUCAUCUAUGAAUGGAAAAUUUUGCCUUAGAACUAAAGUGCUUAAUGAAAUACUAAUAAAAGAGGUUUGGGGUACAUUAACAAAAAUGAAAAUCCCUUUAGUGGAGAAAUCGUAUUUGUCAAAGGUAAAGAUGAAACCCCUAAGCAAACAGUAUUUCCUAAAAAGCCAUUACUAUGCAUACACUGUCAGAAAAUUGGACACACUCAGUUUAGAUGCUACACUAGGUUCUUAGAAAGGUUUGAAUCUCAAAGGAGUAGGCUUAUGAAUGACUUCAAUUCCCUUAAAAAUAACAUCUUGAAUACUGCGAAAAGGAAUAAAACUAAUAAGAAGCCUAAAAGUCAACUUAGUUCCACUAAGUCUCCACCCAAGACUAAACAAGCUUAGUUGAGAAAUGGUAGAACUAAAUAUCAAGUUGUGUUCAAUGCUCUUAAAGCUAAAUCUUCCAAUGAGUGGUACUCUUAUUUUAAGAGGAAUACUAAAAUUAAAAAAUGGCCAUUAUUGAUAGAAAAAAAUUAUUAUUUUUAAAAUUAGUCACUAUUGUCAGAACUAAAAACUGAAAUAGCCUUGAAAUGGGAGAAAAGAUAAAGCCUUAAAACAAUACUUCUCUUUUCGAAGCCCCAUCCCAACGGUGUCACUUCUCUAUGUCUAGUUUUUGCUUCCUAUUCUUUGAAUCUCCAUUUGGAGUUUGUGUGAUGAAUUCUUUAAUGUUAUAUUUGAUUCAUGAAAGAUUUGAUUUGAGGGAAAAUGUGAGGGAAAGAAAAAAGAGAGGAAAAAU
RNAcentral lists this long non-coding RNA (40930 nucleotides) under Vitis vinifera (wine grape). RNAcentral describes it as "long non-coding RNA (VVIN_LNC004121)". Lineage: Eukaryota; Viridiplantae; Streptophyta; Magnoliopsida; Vitales; Vitaceae. The record is from RNAcentral.